AGUGAACGCUGGCGGCAGGCCUAACACAUGCAAGUCGAACGGAAGCACAAGAGAGCUUGCUCUCUGGGUUGCGAGUGGCGGGCGGGAGAGGAAUGCAUCGGACUCUGCCCAUUUGUGGGGGUUAACCUCGGGAAACCGAGACUAAUACCGCAUACGACCUGCGGGUGAAAGCUGGGGAUCUUCGGACCUUGCGCAGAUGGAUUAGCCGUUGCCGGGUUAGCUAGUAGGAGGGGAAAAGGCCAACGAAGGCGCCGAUCCGUACCUGGUCGGAGAGGAUGAACAGCCCCACGGGGACUGAGACCCGGCCCAGCUCCCACGGGGAGCAAGCAGUGGGGAAUAUUGGACAAGGGGGGAAACCUUGAGCAGGCAAGGCCGCUUGUUUGAAGAAGGCCUUCGGUUGGUAAACCACUUUUGUUGGGAAAGAAAAGUAGCCGGUUAAUACUCGGUUGUUAGGCCGGAACCAAAAGAAAAAGCACCGGCUACUUUCGU
This 489-nucleotide ribosomal RNA is filed under the name uncultured bacterium. RNAcentral's name for it is "partial 16S ribosomal RNA". It matches the Rfam family "Bacterial small subunit ribosomal RNA", at positions 29 to 506 of the family's 1533-position model. The record is from RNAcentral.